Molecule: transfer RNA, 66 nt
Filed under: Euparatettix bimaculatus
Lineage: Eukaryota; Metazoa; Arthropoda; Insecta; Orthoptera; Tetrigidae
Description: tRNA-Phe
Source: RNAcentral
AUUUAAGUAGUUUAUUAGAACUUUGUAUUGAAGAUACAGGGGAGGAUUAAAUUAAUCCCUUAAAUA